Molecule: non-coding RNA, 72 nt
Organism: Pteropus alecto (black flying fox)
Lineage: Eukaryota; Metazoa; Chordata; Mammalia; Chiroptera; Pteropodidae
Source: Rfam
GGGGGUAUAGCUCAGGGGUAGAGCGUUUGACUGCAGAUCAACAGGUCCCCGGUUCAAAUCCGGGUGCCCCCU